UUCUUUGUGACUGACGGAACUGUGGAAAACCACAAGGGAGCAAAGGACAAAACAAGCCGACCGUCUGGGCACAC
This 74-nucleotide non-coding RNA is filed under the name bovine gut metagenome. RNAcentral describes it as "ZMP/ZTP riboswitch". It matches the Rfam family "ZMP/ZTP riboswitch aptamer (pfl RNA motif)". Rfam says of the family: Previously known as pfl RNA. The record is from RNAcentral.